GGUUUUAAUGGGAAAUUUACUUAAUCUGGGUCUUGUAUAAAGCAGCAGCCACCAAACAUAUCCUAAAAUAUGUUCAGAUAUCCUAAAAGCAAAGAGUCAGAUCAUGAUCCCACCUAGGCUGAGAGUGUACAUGUAUUAAAUAUAUUUCUGUAUGGACUUUUCACACAUGGAGGAAGAGCAGCUACCAGAUCUGUGAUACCCCAUGGGUGAGGUUCAGCACCUAACAGCACAUCAUCUCUUUGGAAGACAGACACCCUCUCAGGAGAAGGAAAGAAAUGGUGUGGUCCUUUAUGGAAGCUUGGAGUACCAAGAAGGUCAGUGUACUGAAGGAUUUCCUGCGUGUUGCACAUGAUCCAUUCCAAGAUAGACAAAAUAGUUACUUGUAUGAAUUAACAGGAUGUUUUUUAUUUCCAUAGUAUCCAUGCUUUUAUGCUCUUGGAAGAAACACACACUUCCUUAGUAGACUUAAGUACUGAAGCACACUAGCAGGGGUGAAAUGAAAUAUGUUUGAAAAACUUGACCUAAUAGAAAGCAG
This 535-nucleotide long non-coding RNA is filed under the name Zonotrichia albicollis (white-throated sparrow). RNAcentral describes it as "lncRNA (ENSZALG00000011287.1)". The record is from RNAcentral. Lineage: Eukaryota; Metazoa; Chordata; Aves; Passeriformes; Passerellidae.